RNAcentral lists this ribosomal RNA (439 nucleotides) under uncultured bacterium. RNAcentral describes it as "partial 16S ribosomal RNA". It matches the Rfam family "Bacterial small subunit ribosomal RNA", at positions 29 to 507 of the family's 1533-position model. The record is from RNAcentral.
AGCGAACGCUGGCGGCAGGCCUAACACAUGCAAGUCGAACGAACCUUUCGGGGUUAGUGGCGGACGGGUGAGUAACACGUGGGAACGUGCCCUUAGGUUCGGAAUAACUCAGGGAAACUUGUGCUAAUACCGAAUGUGCCCUUCGGGGGAAAGAUUAAUCGCCUUUAGAGCGGCCCGCGUCUGUUUAGCUAGUUGGUUGAGGUAAUGGCUCACCAAGGCGACGAUCAGUAGCUGGUCUGAGAGGAUGAUCAGCCACAUUGGGACUGAGACACGGCCCAAACUCCUACGGGAGGCAGCAGUGGGGAAUCUUGCGCAAUGGGCGAAAGCCUGACGCAGCAAUGCCGCGUGAAUGAUGAAGGUCUUAGGAUUGUAAACCUCUUUCAGCACGGAAGAAGCGAGAGUGACGGUACGUGCAGAAGAAGCGCCGGCUAACUACGUG